Molecule: ribosomal RNA, 529 nt
Filed under: Buccinum unicordatum
Lineage: Eukaryota; Metazoa; Mollusca; Gastropoda; Neogastropoda; Buccinidae
Description: partial large subunit ribosomal RNA
Rfam family: Bacterial large subunit ribosomal RNA
Source: RNAcentral
AAAACAUCGCUCCUUGCUUACAGCAUACAUAAGGAGUAGGACCUGCCCGGUGAAAUUUUUAACGGCUGCGGUACUCUGACCGUGCAAAGGUAGCAUAAUCAUUUGCCUUGUAAUUUAAGGCUAGUAUGAAUGGUUUGACAAGGACAUAGCUGUCUCUUUAUAAUUAAACAGAAUUUUAUUUGUAGGUCAAAAAGCCUAUAUUAAAUUAAAAGACAAGAAGACCCUGUCGAGCUUGAAAAAAACUGGUAGGAUAAUUGAUUAAUAGGGUUAGAAAAUUAACUACUGGAAAUUUUAGUUGGGGCGCCUGGGAAGCAGGGAAAGCCAUCUCUAGAGUCAAAAACUAGACAAGUGUCGAUACAAAAUAUUUUGAUUAGAGGAAUUAGUUACCGCAGGGAUAACAGCAUUAUCUUUUUUGAGAGUUCCUAUCGAAAAAAAGGUUUGUGACCUCGAUGUUGGAUCAGGAUACCCUAAAGAUGCAGGAGUCUUUAAGGUUGGUCUGUUCGCCCAAUAAAAUCCUACGUGAUCUGAG